This 83-nucleotide small nuclear RNA is filed under the name Crocodylus porosus (Australian saltwater crocodile). RNAcentral's name for it is "U4 spliceosomal RNA (ENSCPRG00005004212.1)". It matches the Rfam family "U4 spliceosomal RNA". From Rfam's summary of the family: U4 small nuclear RNA (U4 snRNA) is a component of the major U2-dependent spliceosome. The structure of U4 snRNA from yeast and human has been reported. U4 snRNA presents a k-turn RNA motif in the 5p-SL related to recognition of Snu13 protein. The record is from RNAcentral. Lineage: Eukaryota; Metazoa; Chordata; Crocodylia; Crocodylidae.
UUAGUAGCGCAGUGGCAGUAUCGUAGCCAAUGAGGUUAAUCUGAGGCGCGAUUAUUGCUAGUUGAAAACUUUCCUAAAGCAAG